RNAcentral lists this non-coding RNA (51 nucleotides) under Budvicia aquatica DSM 5075 = ATCC 35567. RNAcentral describes it as "L31-Gammaproteobacteria ribosomal protein leader". It matches the Rfam family "L31-Gammaproteobacteria ribosomal protein leader". Lineage: Bacteria; Pseudomonadati; Pseudomonadota; Gammaproteobacteria; Enterobacterales; Budviciaceae. The record is from RNAcentral.
CGCGUGGUGUUCGGCAAUAGUGACCGGAUAGCGACGCGGCUUAAGAGAGGC